This 434-nucleotide ribosomal RNA is filed under the name uncultured Roseburia sp. RNAcentral's name for it is "partial 16S ribosomal RNA". It matches the Rfam family "Bacterial small subunit ribosomal RNA", at positions 341 to 792 of the family's 1533-position model. The record is from RNAcentral. Lineage: Bacteria; Bacillati; Bacillota; Clostridia; Lachnospirales; Lachnospiraceae.
ACGGAAGGCAGCAGUGGGGAAUAUUGCACAAUGGGCGAAAGCCUGAUGCAGCGACGCCGCGUGAGCGAAGAAGUAUUUCGGUAUGUAAAGCUCUAUCAGCAGGGAAGAUAAUGACGGUACCUGACUAAGAAGCACCGGCUAAAUACGUGCCAGCAGCCGCGGUAAUACGUAUGGUGCAAGCGUUAUCCGGAUUUACUGGGUGUAAAGGGAGCGCAGGCGGUACGGCAAGUCUGAUGUGAAAGCCCGGGGCUCACCCCCGGUACUGCAUUGGAAACUGUCGAACUAGAGUGUCGGAGGGGUAAGUGGAAUUCCUAGUGUAGCGGUGAAAUGCGUAGAUAUUAGGAGGAACACCAGUGGCGAAGGCGGCUUACUGGACGAUAACUGACGCUGAGGCUCGAAAGCGUGGGGAGCAAACAGGAUUAGAUACCCUGGUA